Asparagus officinalis (garden asparagus) is the source of this 639-nucleotide long non-coding RNA. RefSeq lists it as uncharacterized. The record is from RefSeq and is a predicted model, not a curated record. Lineage: Eukaryota; Viridiplantae; Streptophyta; Magnoliopsida; Asparagales; Asparagaceae. The transcript is spliced from 2 exons.
CUCGACGCCGUGAUCACCUCAGAACUCCUCCCGCCUCCCGCUGUCUACGCCUCUCCCUCCCGCCUCCCGCUGUCUAUGCCUCUCCCGCUGUCUACUCCUCCCGCCGUGAUUCCUCCCUCCUCCUCCCGCCUCUCGCUGUCUACGCCUCUCCCUCCCGCCUCCUCCCGCCUCCCGCUGUCGACGCCAGCAUCGACGCCAAGAUAAGGUAAAGUCUGAUUAUCUUUUUUUUUAAUCUUUCAGGAGUUUGAAGGUGAGUAAAGAUCAUGCUUGUGAAUGGCUGAUAUGGUUUCUAAUUGAGGUUAUCCAUGGCAAGAAAGAGUUUCUAUAUUGUGAAGAGAGGUCGACGAUGUGGCAUUUUCGAUAAUUGCGAACAUUUUGAUUUGGGAAAGAGAUAUGGACCCAGUUUAACUUCACAGGCAAACAGGAACAUUUUGAUUUGGGAAUCUAGGCUGCAUGUUGGCAGAGUGAAGAAAGGAUUGCUCUGCCUGAAAAGUGGUUUCUGCAUUUCAUUCCUAUUUUGGUUUUCUGUAUUUGUACAUGCUGGAGAGAAUCAUUGUUGUAUGUUUCAGGUUCUCCCCGGAGUUGUAUGUUGUCCUUGUUGUAAUUCAUUUCUUUAUAUGCGUUGAUACGUUUUCUUCA